AUGUGGAGGUUAACUGGAAUAUAUGGUGAACCAAGUUGGGAUAAGAAAAACCUUACGUAUCAAUUACUACGGGAUCUUCAUGCCCAAUCCAGGUUGCCGUGGAUAGUAAUUGGCGACUUUAACGAGAUUCUAUUCUCAUCAGAGAAAGAUGGUGGGGCCCCUCGACAUCAAUCCCGUCUACAAGCUUUUCAGGACGCCUUGUCUGACUGCUCCCUUGAAGACUUGGGUUAUGAGGGAGACAUAUUCACGUGGUUCCAUGGAGGGUUGCGGGAAAGACUCGAUCGGGCAGUGACAAAUGAUGAAUGGAUGCAGCUCCAUCCUUUGGCUGGUCUUUGCAACAUGGAAUUAGGAAAAUCAGAUCACCAACCGAUCUACCUGGAUACAUAUCACCUCGCUGGAAUUGCAGAACAAAGACCUUUCUAUGUGAGGAAAUUUGAGGCGAGGUGGCUGGCAUAG
Molecule: ribosomal RNA, 456 nt
Filed under: Triticum aestivum (bread wheat)
Lineage: Eukaryota; Viridiplantae; Streptophyta; Magnoliopsida; Poales; Poaceae
Description: partial small subunit ribosomal RNA
Source: RNAcentral